GAGGGAGGUUCGUCCUUUUGAUUGCCCGGGAGGGAAAUAGGGUGAUGGGCGCCAUUUUCCCUACAGGCCGAUGUGUAGGCUGUGGCGCUCCGAGCGGGCCAGCCGGAGCGUGUGUCGGAGACCGGAUGGUCCUUGCCUUGCUAUUGCGGAAUGUUAUUUCAUUGGAAGGGAAGAUGAAGGCAGAAGUAGGGCAGCACGAGGGGCCCACGCGCUCCCUUGGGGUUCUCGGAGUCGGCUGAGGCCUUCACAUUGGGGCUCUGUGUCCCUAGCUUUGCUGAUGCCGGAGACUGGGUUCGGAACCUGCCUGAGCUUGCCUGAUCUCCAGGCAAAGCCAUGCCAUGGGAAGUGGAGCUUUCUGCUCGUGCUGAAAUUCCGGCGGAGCCGAGCUAAUGCAGGGCGACCUAGCGAAUGCUCUAAGAGUAUCCGUGGACUUGUGGGUUUGAAGUCGACCAACUUUGGCAUCGCUCCGUUCCUUUACACGCGCUUUCUCUGUUGUGUCCUGAAGGAUGAAGAAAGCAUCUGUUGGGUUCUUUAACCUAUUGAGACAUUAGUUGUGGUGUAUGUGGUAUGUUUUUUGGUCCUCUCGGCCCAACUCUUUAUUUAAACCAUUUCAAAUACGAGGCAUUUAAGAGAUAAGCAUGCAAUAUCCGCAGUUAAGUAGACUUGCCGGGAGUAUAUUCCAAUAGGAUAGGGAGCCGGCAUCAGCAGUCCUUUGAAUUUCAGAUGCGUUGUCAUAGAUAAAAUAAGUCGAGAAAUGUUAAAAAUAGCCUGGAGAGAUUUGUGUAACAAUCUAGUCGGAACCUACAGUAUUACUCUUGCCCUUACCCAGUCUGAGACUGAAAUUUGCACAGUAAUCCUGGAGGCUAUGAAUUUGGCGGGAGCUUCAGCUUCCAAAGUGCUAAGAGUAGUCUAUGCCACAGCAUCAGGUCUAAUAAACUCCAUUUUUUAAAUGUUACUCU
This 959-nucleotide long non-coding RNA is filed under the name Rattus norvegicus (Norway rat). RNAcentral's name for it is "long non-coding RNA NONRATT003055". The record is from RNAcentral. Lineage: Eukaryota; Metazoa; Chordata; Mammalia; Rodentia; Muridae.